UGGAUAUUUAUUCGUACUCAGUUUCUUCUCAAGGUGAAGAUAAUGCUUGACAAAUGUCCUAGAGAAAUAUAGUAGCUUUCUGUUCACCCUUUGCAAGUAAAAAGGGUGAGGAUCGUUCUACUACUGGCACUU
RNAcentral lists this small nucleolar RNA (132 nucleotides) under Echinops telfairi (small Madagascar hedgehog). RNAcentral's name for it is "Small Cajal body specific RNA 24 (ENSETEG00000024853.1)". It matches the Rfam family "Small Cajal body specific RNA 24". From Rfam's summary of the family: scaRNAs are a specific class of small nuclear RNAs which localise to the Cajal bodies and guide the modification of RNA polymerase II transcribed spliceosomal RNAs U1, U2, U4, U5 and U12. ACA12 belongs to the H/ACA box class of guide RNAs as it has the predicted hairpin-hinge-hairpin-tail structure,the conserved H/ACA-box motifs and is found associated with GAR1. Lineage: Eukaryota; Metazoa; Chordata; Mammalia; Afrosoricida; Tenrecidae. The record is from RNAcentral.